AUUGAAUGCUGACGGCGUGGAUGAGGCAUGCGAGUCGAACGGAAAGUGGAGCAAUCCACUUUUAGUGGCGUAAGGGUUAGGAAUAUAUGGAUAACUCACCUUUGACACUUCGGAUAACGGUUGGAAACGACCGCUAAUACGAGAUGAGGUGAUAAGGGCGAUAGCUCAUAUCAUCAAAGUAGGGGACCGGGAAACCGGCCUCGCGGUGAAAGAGAGGUCCAUACGAUAUCAGCUAGUUGGUGAGGUAAAGGCUCACCAAGGCUAAGACGUCUAGGCGGAUUGAGAGAUUGACCGCCAACACUUGGACUGAGACACUGCCCAGACUCCUACGGGAGGCUGCAGUCGAGAAUCUUUCGCAAUGGGCGAAAGGCCUGACGAAGCGACGCCGUGUGAGCGAUGAAGGCCUUCGGGUUGUAAAGCUCUUUCGCCAAAGAACAAGAGAGGUGGGUUAACAGCCCACUAAUUUGAGUGUACUUGGUAAAGAAGCACCGGCUAACUCCGUGCCAGCCGCCGCCGUAA
RNAcentral lists this ribosomal RNA (519 nucleotides) under uncultured bacterium. Its description in RNAcentral is "partial 16S ribosomal RNA". It matches the Rfam family "Bacterial small subunit ribosomal RNA", at positions 30 to 523 of the family's 1533-position model. The record is from RNAcentral.